This 84-nucleotide small nucleolar RNA is filed under the name Ogataea polymorpha. The record is from RNAcentral. RNAcentral also lists the same sequence under 1 other name. Lineage: Eukaryota; Fungi; Ascomycota; Pichiomycetes; Pichiales; Pichiaceae.
UUCUAUGAUGAGGAAGAUAUUCACACUGUAAGAGGGCUUCGGCUCGGUGAACGCAAACAAUAUACUGAUUUAAUGACUCUGAUG